RNAcentral lists this small RNA (28 nucleotides) under Bombyx mori (domestic silkworm). Its description in RNAcentral is "piRNA piR-bmo-1718753". The record is from RNAcentral. Lineage: Eukaryota; Metazoa; Arthropoda; Insecta; Lepidoptera; Bombycidae.
UGUCACGACUUGGUGGAGUGUCACGACU